This 878-nucleotide unclassified non-coding RNA is filed under the name Hevea brasiliensis (rubber tree). Lineage: Eukaryota; Viridiplantae; Streptophyta; Magnoliopsida; Malpighiales; Euphorbiaceae. The record is from RNAcentral.
AUGGGGAUGGUUUUGUUCUUGUUUUUGCAUUUUCCUCAAGUGCUAGAGCAGUUUUUGAAUCUUCUUCCUUGUUUGCUGGGAUGUUUUUUGCGUCUUCUUCCUCAACUACAGGUGUAACUGAACUUGGUGAAGCAUCAUUUCCUGAAGCUUCCUGCAUUUCUUGUGGUAGGUUAGGCACAGGAAAUAUUUCCUUUGUUGCUGGUGGGCUUGCAGAUGCAGUAAUCUCAGAAGGUAAGGGUGGAGAAACUGGUGAGGGUGGGGAAAUAGAAAGCAUCUUUGCAAUUGGGUAAACUUCAGUGACUUCUUCACUGCCUUCGUCCAAAUAAACAACAUCUUGCAUGGUGAGUUGGUGGUAUUCAACAAUUUCCCUCAGAAACCGGUUCUCACGUGCAAAUAUUGAAUUCUCAUGUGCCAAACGAGCCUUCUCAGCCAAAAGUGUCUCCAGUUGAAGGCGAAUCAAAUCAUCGUCUGCUGGGUUGCCUCCCUUUUCACGACUCUCCCUCAGGAUUUUGUUCUCUUCCUCUAGUUGUGAACAUCUUUGUUUUGCAAAAGCCAGGUCUGCUUUAACUGUCUUCAGUUCCCGAAGAAGAAGUUUUGCUUUUGCAGCAGUUGCCAUUGCAACGUCGCGAGAUGCCUUCAAUUGAUUUUCAUGGUUCAUUUGAUUCUGCGGCUGAUUAGGCUGCAUCAUGGGUUGCUGCCAUGAACUAUUUGCACCAGAAGCUUGAUUUUGUUCCACAAGACUGCUUCCCUUUCUCCUAAUUUGCAGUUUGCGAGUUUCUUGGAUGAUAUCUGCAGUCUUAUUUUCCACAAUAGUGCGACCUUCCUCAAAAGCCUUUUCAAAGGUGUCACCUAUCUGAUUAAGGGAAGAUGUGAUUUUA